AGUCUGCAACUCGAGUGCAUGAAGCUGGAAUCGCUAGUAAUCGCGGAUCAGAAUGCCGCGGUGAAUACGUUCCCGGGUCUUGUACACACCGCCCGUCACACCAUGGGAGUCGGGAAUGCCCGAAGCCGGUGGCCCAAUCUGUAAAGAAGGGAGCCGUCGAAGGCAGGCCGGAUGACUGGGGCUAAGUCGUAACAAGGUACC
This 201-nucleotide ribosomal RNA is filed under the name uncultured bacterium. RNAcentral describes it as "partial 16S ribosomal RNA". It matches the Rfam family "Bacterial small subunit ribosomal RNA", at positions 1302 to 1500 of the family's 1533-position model. The record is from RNAcentral.